RNAcentral lists this ribosomal RNA (605 nucleotides) under Fusarium sporotrichioides. Its description in RNAcentral is "eukaryotic LSU rRNA". The stretch from base 126 to 279 matches the Rfam family "5.8S ribosomal RNA". The record is from RNAcentral. Lineage: Eukaryota; Fungi; Ascomycota; Sordariomycetes; Hypocreales; Nectriaceae.
UGUGACAUACCUUUAUGUUGCCUCGGCGGAUCAGCCCGCGCCCCGUAAAACGGGACGGCCCGCCGCAGGAAACCCUAAACUCUGUUUUUAGUGGAACUUCUGAGUAUAAAAAACAAAUAAAUCAAAACUUUCAACAACGGAUCUCUUGGUUCUGGCAUCGAUGAAGAACGCAGCAAAAUGCGAUAAGUAAUGUGAAUUGCAGAAUUCAGUGAAUCAUCGAAUCUUUGAACGCACAUUGCGCCCGCCAGUAUUCUGGCGGGCAUGCCUGUUCGAGCGUCAUUUCAACCCUCAAGCCCAGCUUGGUGUUGGGAUCUGUGUGCAAACACAGUCCCCAAAUUGAUUGGCGGUCACGUCGAGCUUCCAUAGCGUAGUAAUUUACACAUCGUUACUGGUAAUCGUCGCGGCCACGCCGUUAAACCCCAACUUCUGAAUGUUGACCUCGGAUCAGGUAGGAAUACCCGCUGAACUUAAGCAUAUCAAUAAGCGGGGGAAAAAGAAACUAUCUCUGGGGCCUCCCAAAUAAAUCAUUCUUAAAUUUGAUCUGAAAUCAGGCGGGAUUACCCGCUGAACUUAAGCAUAUCAAUAAGCGGAGGAAAAGAAAUGCU